UGGGGAAUCUUCCGCAAUGGGCGAAAGCCUGACGGAGCAAUACCGCGUGAGGGAGGAAGGCUCUUGGGUUGUAAACCUCAAAACUUAGGGAAGAAAAAAAUGACGGUACCUAAUGUAAGCAUCGGCUAACUCCGUGCCAGCAGCCGCGGUAAUACGGAGGAUGCAAGCGUUAUCCGGAAUCAUUGGGCGUAAAGAGUCCGUAGGUGGCACUUCAAGUCUGCUUUCAAAGACCGAAGCUCAACUUCGGAAAGGGAGUGGAAACUGAAGAGCUAGAGUAUAGUAGAGGUAGAGGGAAUUCCUAGUGUAGCGGUGAAAUGCGUAGAGAUUAGGAAGAACACCAGUGGCGAAGGCGCUCUACUGGGCAUAUACUGACACUGAGGGACGAAAGCUAGGGGAGCGAAAGGGAUUAGAUACCCCUGUAGU
This 423-nucleotide ribosomal RNA is filed under the name uncultured Chroococcales cyanobacterium. Its description in RNAcentral is "bacterial SSU rRNA". It matches the Rfam family "Bacterial small subunit ribosomal RNA", at positions 355 to 794 of the family's 1533-position model. The record is from RNAcentral. Lineage: Bacteria; Bacillati; Cyanobacteriota; Cyanophyceae; Chroococcales.